Molecule: non-coding RNA, 239 nt
Filed under: Viridibacillus arenosi
Lineage: Bacteria; Bacillati; Bacillota; Bacilli; Caryophanales; Caryophanaceae
Description: T-box sequence
Rfam family: T-box leader
About the family: Uncharged tRNA acts as the effector for transcription antitermination of genes in the T-box leader family. T-boxes are found upstream of many aminoacyl-tRNA synthetase genes and some amino acid biosynthetic genes usually in Gram-positive bacteria. The anticodon of a specific tRNA base pairs to a specifier sequence within the T-box motif, and the NCCA acceptor tail of the tRNA base pairs to a conserved bulge in the T-box antiterminator hairpin.
Source: RNAcentral
CAAAACGCAUUGAUUAGGAGUAGUAAAAGCUCAUUAUUUGGUCUAGAGAGCUGCGGGGUGGUGCAACGCAGUCCAAUAAUACUUUGAACUUGCCUAUGAGUGGUAAAGUGAAAUGAAUAGACAGACUAUUCUUUUUACUUUAACGUUUAACCUUCGUUACCAGGUUUUUAAAGUUGGGUUCAUGAAUUAGAACCAAUAAGAGUGGUACCGCGGUUUGCAUAAGGCAUAUCGUCUCUUCU